This 486-nucleotide long non-coding RNA is filed under the name Mytilus galloprovincialis (Mediterranean mussel). The record is from RNAcentral. Lineage: Eukaryota; Metazoa; Mollusca; Bivalvia; Mytilida; Mytilidae.
CUAUUCGUCAAUAAAAUAAUAAAUAAACAGUGUGUCUCAUCCUGUUCUGGACUUGAAAUUGGUACAUAAAAAAAAAAUUGCCGAUUUUAAUUGAUAUUUUAACCAGAUGCUUUGCAGGGCGCAGCUAUAUACGACCACAAAGGUUGAACCCUGAACAGUUGGGGCAAGUAUGGACACAACAUUUAAGCUGGAUUCAGCUCUAAAUUUGGAUUGUGAUUAAAUAGUUGACACAGCAUAGGUUUCUGACACAGAAUGAAUGUGGUCUAAUGAAUUUAAAAUAUUUUUUUUGCCUUUGAGCAAUUCACUAUGCUGUUGAAUAUUAAUCCUCUCAAAAAAAUGUUUGAAGAAAUUUUCUUUUUUAUUUAUGAAAUCUGAAAUGAGAAAAAUUUACCCCCCCCCCCCAAUUAUUUUUUCACAUCCCCCUUUUCCUUUUUUCAAAACUGAUCUCAAUACAAAUUCCUAAUGGAGUUUGCAACAAUAACUACU